RNAcentral lists this ribosomal RNA (1372 nucleotides) under uncultured bacterium. RNAcentral's name for it is "bacterial SSU rRNA". It matches the Rfam family "Bacterial small subunit ribosomal RNA", at positions 28 to 1381 of the family's 1533-position model. The record is from RNAcentral.
GAUGAACGCUGGCGGCGUGCCUAAUACAUGCAAGUCGAGCGAACGGACGAGAAGCUUGCUUCUCUGAUGUUAGCGGCGGACGGGUGAGUAACACGUGGAUAACCUACCUAUAAGACUGGGAUAACUUCGGGAAACCGGAGCUAAUACCGGAUAAUAUUUUGAACCGCAUGGUUCAAAAGUGAAAGACGGUCUUGCUGUCACUUAUAGAUGGAUCCGCGCUGCAUUAGCUAGUUGGUAAGGUAACGGCUUACCAAGGCAACGAUGCAUAGCCGACCUGAGAGGGUGAUCGGCCACACUGGAACUGAGACACGGUCCAGACUCCUACGGGAGGCAGCAGUAGGGAAUCUUCCGCAAUGGGCGAAAGCCUGACGGAGCAACGCCGCGUGGGUGAUGAAGGUCUUCGGAUCGUAAAACUCUGUUAUUAGGGAAGAACAUAUGUGUAAGUAACUGUGCACAUCUUGACGGUACCUAAUCAGAAAGCCACGGCUAACUACGUGCCAGCAGCCGCGGUAAUACGUAGGUGGCAAGCGUUAUCCGGAAUUAUUGGGCGUAAAGCGCGCGUAGGCGGUUUUUUAAGUCUGAUGUGAAAGCCCACGGCUCAACCGUGGAGGGUCAUUGGAAACUGGAAAACUUGAGUGCAGAAGAGGAAAGUGGAAUUCCAUGUGUAGCGGUGAAAUGCGCAGAGAUAUGGAGGAACACCAGUGGCGAAGGCGACUUUCUGGUCUGUAACUGACGCUGAUGUGCGAAAGCGUGGGGAUCAAACAGGAUUAGAUACCCUGGUAGUCCACGCCGUAAACGAUGAGUGCUAAGUGUUAGGGGGUUUCCGCCCCUUAGUGCUGCAGCUACCGCAUUAAGCACUCCGCCUGGGGAGUACGACCGCAAGGUUGAAACUCAAAGGAAUUGACGGGGACCCGCACAAGCGGUGGAGCAUGUGGUUUAAUUCGAAGCAACGCGAAGAACCUUACCAAAUCUUGACAUCCUUUGACAACUCUAGAGAUAGAGCUUUCCCCUUCGGGGGACAAAGUGACAGGUGGUGCAUGGUUGUCGUCAGCUCGUGUCGUGAGAUGUUGGGUUAAGUCCCGCAACGAGCGCAACCCUUAAGCUUAGUUGCCAUCAUUAAGUUGGGCACUCUAAGUUGACUGCCGGUGACAAACCGGAGGAAGGUGGGGAUGACGUCAAAUCAUCAUGCCCCUUAUGAUUUGGGCUACACACGUGCUACAAUGGACAAUACAAAGGGCAGCGAAACCGCGAGGUCAAGCAAAUCCCAUAAAGUUGUUCUCAGUUCGGAUUGUAGUCUGCAACUCGACUACAUGAAGCUGGAAUCGCUAGUAAUCGUAGAUCAGCAUGCUACGGUGAAUACGUUCCCGGGUCU